Molecule: non-coding RNA, 163 nt
Organism: Arachis ipaensis
Lineage: Eukaryota; Viridiplantae; Streptophyta; Magnoliopsida; Fabales; Fabaceae
Source: RefSeq, a predicted model, not a curated record
AUCAUAUGCUUGGUUCUUAAAAUUAGUAUCUGUUUCAUCUUCUUUUGGUUUUCAGAAUCAGACCUCUCUUUGUUUUUUAAGAACAAUGAAAUUAUUCAACACGUACUUCACAUAUUAGUCAAGAUGUUGCCACAUAUUCAACAUGUCCCUCGCGUAUUGGUCA